GGUUAAGCGACCAAGCGUACACGGUGGAUGCCCUGGCAGUCAGAGGCGAUGAAGGACGUGCUAAUCUGCGAAAAGCGCCGGUAAGGUGAUAUGAACCGUUAUAACCGGCGAUGUCCGAAUGGGGAAACCCAGUGUGACUCGUCACACUAUCAUUAACUGAAUCCAUAGGUUAAUGAGGCGAACCGGGGGAACUGAAACAUCUAAGUACCCCGAGGAAAAGAAAUCAACCGAGAUUCCCCCAGUAGCGGCGAGCGAACGGGGAGGAGCCCAGAGCCUGAAUCAGCAUGUGUGUUAGUGGAAGCGUCUGGAAAGGCGCGCGAUACAGGGUGACAGCCCCGUACACAAAAGCGCAUGUGCUGUGAGCUCGAUGAGUAGGGCGGGACACGUGGUAUCCUGUCUGAAUAUGGGGGGACCAUCCUCCAAGGCUAAAUACUCCUGACUGACCGAUAGUGAACCAGUACCGUGAGGGAAAGGCGAAAAGAACCCCGGCGAGGGGAGUGAAACAGAACCUGAAACCGUGUACGUACAAGCAGUGGGAGCAUGAGUUUACUCAUGUGACUGCGUACCUUUUGUAUAAUGGGUCAGCGACUUAUAUUCUGUAGCAAGGUUAACCGAAUAGGGGAGCCGGAGGGAAACCGAGUCUUAACCGGGCGUUAAGUUGCAGGGUAUAGACCCGAAACCCGGUGAUCUAGCCAUGGGCAGGUUGAAGGUUGGGUAACACUAACUGGAGGACCGAACCGACUAAUGUUGAAAAAUUAGCGGAUGACCUGUGGCUGGGGGUGAAAGGCCAAUCAAACCGGGAGAUAGCUGGUUCUCCCCGAAAGCUAUUUAGGUAGCGCCUCGUGAAUUCAUCUCCGGGGGUAGAGCACUGUUUCGGCCAGGGGGCCAUCCCGGCUUACCAACCCGAUGCAAACUGCGAAUACCGGAGAAUGUUAUCACGGGAGACACACGGCGGGUGCUAACGUCCGUCGUGAAGAGGGAAACAACCCAGACCGCCAGCUAAGGUCCCAAAGUCAUGGUUAAGUGGGAAACGAUGUGGGAAGGCCCAGACAGCCAGGAUGUUGGCUUAGAAGCAGCCAUCAUUUAAAGAAAGCGUAAUAGCUCACUGGUCGAGUCGGCCUGCGCGGAAGAUGUAACGGGGCUAAACCAUGCACCGAAGCUGCGGCAGCGACACUAAGUGUUGUUGGGUAGGGGAGCGUUCUGUAAGCCUGCGAAGGUGUGUCGUGAGGCAUGCUGGAGGUAUCAGAAGUGCGAAUGCUGACAUAAGUAACGAUAAUGCGGGUGAAAAACCCGCACGCCGGAAGACCAAGGGUUCCUGUCCAACGUUAAUCGGGGCAGGGUGAGUCGACCCCUAAGGCGAGGCCGAAAGGCGUAGUCGAUGGGAAACGGGUUAAUAUUCCCGUACCUGGUGUUACUGCGAAGGGGGGACGGAGAAGGCUAUGUUGGCCGGGCGACGGUUGUCCCGGUUUAAGCGUGCAGGCUGGUUUUCCAGGCAAAUCCGGAAAAUCAAGGCUGAGGCGUGACGACGAGGCACUACGGUGCUGAAGCAACAAAUGCCCUGCUUCCAGGAAAAGCCUCUAAGCCUCAGGUAACAUCAGAUCGUACCCGAAACCGACACAGGUGGUCAGGUAGAGAAUACCAAGGCGCUUGAGAGAACCCGGGUGAAGGAACUAGGCAAAAUGGUGCCGUAACUUCGGGAGAAGGCACGCUGACACGUAGGUGAAGCGGUUUACCCGUGGAGCUGAAGUCAGUCGAAGAUACCAGCUGGCUGCAACUGUUUAUUAAAAACACAGCACUGUGCAAACACGAAAGUGGACGUAUACGGUGUGACGCCUGCCCGGUGCCGGAAGGUUAAUUGAUGGGGUCAGCGCAAGCGAAGCUCCUGAUCGAAGCCCCGGUAAACGGCGGCCGUAACUAUAACGGUCCUAAGGUAGCGAAAUUCCUUGUCGGGUAAGUUCCGACCUGCACGAAUGGCGUAAUGAUGGCCAGGCUGUCUCCACCCGGGACUCAGUGAAAUUGAACUCGCUGUGAAGAUGCAGUGUACCCGCGGCAAGACGGAAAGACCCCGUGAACCUUUACUAUAGCUUGACACUGAACACUGGUCCUUGAUGUGCAGGAUAGGUGGGAGGCUUUGAAGUGUGGACGCCAGUCUGCAUGGAGCCGUCCUUGAAAUACCACCCUUUAAUGGCUGGUGUUCUAACGUAGACCCGUGAACCGGGUUGCGGACAGUGUCUGGUGGGUAGUUUGACUGGGGCGGUCUCCUCCUAAAGCGUAACGGAGGAGCACGAAGGUUGGCUAAUCCUGGUCGGACAUCAGGAGGUUAGUGCAAUGGCAUAAGCCAGCUUGACUGCGAGCGUGACGGCGCGAGCAGGUGCGAAAGCAGGUCAUAGUGAUCCGGUGGUUCUGAAUGGAAGGGCCAUCGCUCAACGGAUAAAAGGUACUCCGGGGAUAACAGGCUGAUACCGCCCAAGAGUUCAUAUCGACGGCGGUGUUUGGCACCUCGAUGUCGGCUCAUCACAUCCUGGGGCUGAAGUAGGUCCCAAGGGUAUGGCUGUUCGCCAUUUAAAGUGGUACGCGAGCUGGGUUUAGAACGUCGUGAGACAGUUCGGUCCCUAUCUGCCGUGGGCGCUGGAGAACUGAGGGGGGCUGCUCCUAGUACGAGAGGACCGGAGUGGACGCAUCACUGGUGUUCGGGUUGUCAUGCCAAUGGCACUGCCCGGUAGCUAAAUGCGGAAGAGAUAAGUGCUGAAAGCAUCUAAGCACGAAACUUGCCCCGAGAUGAGUUCUCCCUGAGACUACAAGUCUCCUGAAGGAACGUUGAAGACGACGACGUUGAUAGGCCGGGUGUGUAAGCGCAGCGAUGCGUUGAGCUAACCGGUACUAAUGAACCGUGAGGCUUAACCUUAC
This 2907-nucleotide ribosomal RNA is filed under the name Salmonella enterica subsp. arizonae serovar 62:z4,z23:-. RNAcentral describes it as "bacterial LSU rRNA". It matches the Rfam family "Bacterial large subunit ribosomal RNA". Lineage: Bacteria; Pseudomonadati; Pseudomonadota; Gammaproteobacteria; Enterobacterales; Enterobacteriaceae. The record is from RNAcentral.